RNAcentral lists this long non-coding RNA (1296 nucleotides) under Capsicum annuum. RNAcentral describes it as "long non-coding RNA (CANN_LNC021020)". Lineage: Eukaryota; Viridiplantae; Streptophyta; Magnoliopsida; Solanales; Solanaceae. The record is from RNAcentral.
UUCCGGGUACAAAAUACUUCGGGGCAUUCCCCGGCUAAAUGAAUACAUCUAAAUUAAAUAACAUAAUUAGAAAAACAUUCAAAACAAUUUAAACAUUCAAAGCAUUCAAUCAACAUAUCACUCCAAAAUUUUCCUACCCGAACCUAUAUUGCCUAUCAAUUUCAAUGUAUCACAAUUCUAUUAUGUUCUAACAAUAUCCACGCUCAUUCCAAAAACAACAAUGAACCAAAGUUAAUAUAAAUUCACUAUUUCAUUAAUUUCUCAAUUCCACCCCAAAUUCUCAUUACACAACUCGUAAUCAAGGAAAUCAAGCAACCAAUCAAGACUACACAACACACGAGAUUCGAUACAAAGUACCAUAUUCCAUCAACAAUAAAAUGAAAAUAUUUAGAGAGUAGGAAUGGACCUCAAUGAUGAUUUUUUUGAUGAAUAUUAUUCAAUGAAAUAAAUAAAACCCGCCUCUGAAAACUUCAACUUAUGCCUCAAUGACAAAUCUAUCCAACUCAGUAUCGGUGAAUAAACAGUCCAAAACUGACCACAACCAAAAUAGAAAUCACCACCCAAAUGCCGAAACAAGGAGCUGUGGAUAUCCAGAACCAGAUUUCAAAUAAAAACCUGUAGAAAAUCGAUGAGGCCGAAGCUCCGGUGAGCUGCCAACGGCCAAGAAUCAAUAGAAAAGGUUGGAUUUUGGUGAAAUACUUUCUCUUCGGCCAGCUUCAUCUAAAACCCCAUAGAAAUAAAGAGAUUUUGGGAUAUUCUUGAAACGGGGUCUGUCGACUUGAUGUGUGGGAAUUGAUUCUGGCGAGAUCUUUGCCGAAAAAGCUUGACAAUGACCGAAUUUAGAGCAUCAGUGCGUGCGUCAACUUCAUGAAGAAGAAAGGCAAAGCUGAGACCCCCUUUUGAAAUUGUGUUUCUUACCUCUGAUAUAGUGCAUGUGUGUGUGUGUUUCCGGUGAGAGAGUGCGUGUUUAUGGUGGAAACUUCAAUGGUGUGGCUGCCAAUGCCAAGGUUUGGUAUGCGUAUGUUCUGUUUCUGGUGUGGGAUCUUGUUAUUAGUGGAAAUAGAGGAUGAUGGAGUAUUUUGUGUCUCUAUGUGGGAGUGAUGGAUCCCUAUGUUAAUGGGAUUGGAGUCCUAUUCAUGAAUAUCGUUGGUGAGGUUUUCUUCUCUGUGUGAGGAUUUUGGUAUCUGGCUCCCUUUUUAUGUGUUGGUGUGUGGGACACGUGAACGGGUGAGGGGUAGGGGUAGGGUAGGUGAGGGUAAGGAUAUGGGGUUGUGAGGUUUCCUCUUUUAAUUGGAA